AGUGAACGCUGGCGGUAGGCCUAACACAUGCAAGUCGAACGGCAGCACAGUAAGAGCUUGCUCUUACGGGUGGCGAGUGGCGGACGGGUGAGGAAUACAUCGGAAUCUACUUUUUCGUGGGGGAUAACGUAGGGAAACUUACGCUAAUACCGCAUACGACCUACGGGUGAAAGCAGGGGAUCUUCGGACCUUGCGCGGUUGAAUGAGCCGCUGUCGUAUUAGCUAGUUGGCGGGGUAAAGGCCCACCAAGGCGACGAUCCGUAGCUGGUCUGAGAGGAUGAUCAGCCACACUGGAACUGAGACACGGUCCAGAGUCCUACGGGAGGGAGCAGUGGGGAAUAUGGGACAAUGGGCGCAAGCCUGAUCCAGCCAUACCGCGUGGGUGAAGAAGGCCUUCGGGUUGUAAAGACCUUUUGUUGGGAAAGAAAAGCAGCAGGUUAAUACCCCGCUGUUCUGACGGUACCCAAAGAAUAAGCACCGGCUAACUUCGUG
RNAcentral lists this ribosomal RNA (492 nucleotides) under uncultured bacterium. Its description in RNAcentral is "partial 16S ribosomal RNA". It matches the Rfam family "Bacterial small subunit ribosomal RNA", at positions 29 to 507 of the family's 1533-position model. The record is from RNAcentral.